AUUGAACGCUGGCGGCAGGCCUAACACAUGCAAGUCGAGCGGAGCGGCCGACGGGUGAGUAAUGCCUAUGACUCUGCCUGGUCGUGUGGGCUAACGUCCGGCAACGGGCGCUACUUCCUCAUACUAUCAGAUGGUCCUAGGUCGAAUUGGCUAGUUGGUGGGGUAAAGGCCUACCCAGGCGACGAUCCGUCACUGGUCGGAGAUGAUGAUCAGUCACACUGGAACUGAGACACGGUCCAGACUCCUACGGGAGGCAGCAGUGGGGAAUAUUGGACAAUGGGCGAAAGCCUGAUCCAGCCAUGCCGCGUGUGUGAAGAAGGUCCUAGGAUUGUAAAGUACUUUAAGUUGGGAGGCGUUACCAACAGAAUAAGCACCGGCUAACUCCGUGCCAGCAGCCGCGGUAAUUC
RNAcentral lists this ribosomal RNA (407 nucleotides) under uncultured bacterium. RNAcentral describes it as "partial 16S ribosomal RNA". It matches the Rfam family "Bacterial small subunit ribosomal RNA", at positions 30 to 526 of the family's 1533-position model. The record is from RNAcentral.